RNAcentral lists this ribosomal RNA (256 nucleotides) under uncultured bacterium. RNAcentral's name for it is "partial 16S ribosomal RNA". It matches the Rfam family "Bacterial small subunit ribosomal RNA", at positions 1238 to 1500 of the family's 1533-position model. The record is from RNAcentral.
UACGAGAAGGCAGCUACACGGCGACGUGAUGCUAAUCCCUAAAGCCUCUCUCAGUUCGGAUUGGAGUCUGCAACCCGACUCCAUGAAGCUGGAUUCGCUAGUAAUCGCGCAUCAGCCACGGCGCGGUGAAUACGUUCCCGGGCCUUGUACACACCGCCCGUCAAGCCAUGAAAGCCGGGGGGUACCUGAAGUGCGUAACCGCAAGGAGCGCCCUAGGGUAAAACUGGUGAUUGGGGCUAAGUCGUAACAAGGUAGC